UCCUACCGGUCAGUGGAAAGGCUGCAUCAGCCUUUCACUGUGCACAACAAAGGGAAAACCGCCUGCAUGGCAACACUGACUUUCAGUUCAAAUUGUUGCGGAAAUUAGACAACACUCGCUGACUCGUCCUCUGAAGUUCCAGCUCCAUUCUGUCCAAAACCAACAGACAUGAUUAUCAGACUGGGACGCCUGACUCCUGGAUACUUCCGUCUCCUGCAGAGGCAGGUAGCUGGUGAGGUUCAGACCCAGCCUCAGGAUGGCUCCCUUAACCAAAUUGCCAUGAUGCUUGCCAUUAUGGGUCUUGGCCUGUCCUACUACAGCGCCAAACAGAUGACCGAGAAGGUGCAACAUAGCCCGGUGCCCUGAACACAACCAUGACCUCUGAUCCAUUUGACUCCCUGCGGUGGAACAAAAGCCAAAUCGGAGAUGGAGGUUUGGAAGAAGACCUUAUCCAGGACUUCAUGUACACUACUUCACCAGAAGCCUGGAUGUUCUGAGUUUAGUCGGCAUGAGACGAGUACAGGGUUUUUAGCAAGCACUGUCAACAAAAAAAUAGCGUUCAGAUGUGACCUGUGUCUUGAUAGUUGCACUGGUACAUUCAUCAGGGUCCUUUAAUACCUCUGAGGCCAAAAUUUUGGCUUAUCUUCAGUGAUUCCUAUUUAAAGGGAAUGAGCCAGUCACUGGUACUUUGGUGUAGAAUAUAUGCCCUUUUAAAGGGAAACCCUCUGCCUUCUGUAUCAAGCAACUGUUAAAUGCAGGUCACUAAAAAAACUAGGGAUUAUUUUAUUUUUUAUUUUUUUGGGGUGAAAAGCUGCUUAAAUGGAGACUAGGCAUCGCAGGAAUCCUGCAAACUCGCACUGGAAGAGCAGUACCAAACUACACUAUGAUAUGAAAUUAAAGGCCCAUUCGGUGUUACACACAGAUUUAUUGUACUGUUCUAAGUAGCCAUGUUUUUGUGACGUUUUUGAGCAAAGACCUUAAAUGUUAAAGGGAUAUUAACAAGUGCACGUGUGUCGAGAUUUUAAAGAAUCCAAUAUGUGAUCUUGUCAAAUGAUUUUUAUAUGAAUGUAUGUUGAUUAUUUAAAAUUUGAUUAAAUAAAGCUGUGAACAUUUUUGAACAA
Long non-coding RNA from Ictalurus furcatus (blue catfish), 1121 nucleotides. RefSeq lists it as uncharacterized. The record is from RefSeq and is a predicted model, not a curated record. Lineage: Eukaryota; Metazoa; Chordata; Actinopteri; Siluriformes; Ictaluridae. The transcript has 3 exons.